UUGCAGCUGUAGAACUAUGGGUCAUCCCACUAAUCUCCCUGUCUUAUAUUUCUUACAGGAAAAAAAAAGGCCCACCGGAAUGCUGGAGUUGCUGCUUGCAGAACUUAUAAAAAGAAAUGGAUCUAAGUGGUACAAGGGAUGGACCAUAACAGAUGCUGUGAUAUGCCAUCUGGCUCAUGCUUCAAGACCAAAGGACUUAUUCCCCCAAGUUCCUGGGAGUUCUGCUGGUCAUUGACCUUCAGCAAUCAGCACUUUUUUUGGAAGAUGAGAUUUGACACAGAAAGGUAUGGAGGCAAGACCAUGAGAAGAUAUAGCAAGAAGGUACAAACCAAGGAGAGAGGCCUCAGGAGAAACCAAUGCUGCAACCACCCUGACCUCAGACUUCUAGUCUCCAGAAUAGUAAGAAAAUAAACUUCUGUUGUUUAAGCCACUUAAAUGUGAUACAUUGUCAUGACAGCCCUAG
Molecule: long non-coding RNA, 463 nt
Filed under: Mustela putorius furo (domestic ferret)
Lineage: Eukaryota; Metazoa; Chordata; Mammalia; Carnivora; Mustelidae
Description: lncRNA (ENSMPUG00000026808.1)
Source: RNAcentral